This is a long non-coding RNA of Pan troglodytes (chimpanzee), 1179 nucleotides long. RefSeq lists it as uncharacterized. NCBI's taxonomy places the organism in Eukaryota, Metazoa, Chordata, Mammalia, Primates, Hominidae. The record is from RefSeq and is a predicted model, not a curated record. The transcript has 3 exons.
CUGCAGCCUUGUGAAGAAGGUACUUGCUUCUCCUUUGUCUUCCACCAUGAUUGUAAGUUUCCCGAGGCCUCCCAGCCAUGUGGAACUAAAAUAAAGAAGACACUAGAAGAAAAAACCUUCAAAAGAGAAAUAUCUUAGAGAACUGCUAGAGUGGCCAAGACUGGGUCCAUGGAAGAAAAUGGUAUAUACCAACUAUCUCGGGUAGUUAAUUGACAUUUCCUUUUUUUUUUUAACAUAGUGUUCACUGUGUUGAAAUGGAUACUUGAGGGUAAAUUACAUGGUAUGCUCCUUUUUUCUUUCCAGUUAGUUCUAAAGCAGGAAAUGAUAGACUGUUCUAUUUCCUUGCAUGUCAGAAGAGAAAUGUCAAGCAUUUUAUUGGCUAGGAAAAUUUCUGCCCAGUUUUGUGGGCCCAAGGGACCUUAGAUAUAAGAAAGACGCAAGCUGAAAGUGAAGAGUACAUAAAAGAGCACUGUUCUUAGAAGACUUCCUGAGAGAGUGAUUGGCUAUACUUUAUCUCUCUUCUGCCAUUUAAAUCUUCCCCUCUUGUAUUUUCUUUGAACUUUGGGCCAUAACAAGCCUUCAGACUAUUCUGCCUCUCAGAGGUCCCCAGAUGUAUUGGAGAAGCUGUGGGUUCAGAUGUCUGCAAGUACCCUCACUUAUUUGCCAUACUAGCCCAUUGUUUAAAACUGCCAUGUUCUCAAGUAUUUUUUAUUUUUUAAUAGAAAGGCCAUUCCAUUUGUUGGAAGAUUUUUCUUACCAAAUAUUGGAGAGUUAAAAAGAAAUUUCCCAUAUACAGCACUUCAGAAGGACCCAAGUCAUUCACAGACUGUUUAUGACUACAAUUAAGUCUUCUCUUAGUGGAUGAUAUCAACUCCAAACCCACACAAGCAAGCUGAGUUCCAUUCAAAGCAAUAACAGCACCUACUCUGUGCUUUCUCUUCUCUUCUGAAAACAGCUUAGCAGCUUCACAGUAAUGAUGUCUUCAAAGAAUUCUGAUGAGCCAAGGACUGUGAGCAUAGGGCUGAUCUCCAUCAUACCUAGUGCAGCUCUGCCUGAUUGCACAAAACACUUAUGCAGUUUCCCUUUCAAAUGAAAUUAGCAUAGAUGAACGUAUAAUUUCUGAGUAAUUUGCCAGGCCUUCCCCCUUUUUCUCAUAAUAAAGCUAUUCUAUUCACCAUC